GGUUUGUGGCUCAGUGGUAAAGCACUUGCCUAGCACGUGCGAGGUGCUGAGUGCGAUCCUCAGAAUCA
This 68-nucleotide transfer RNA is filed under the name Marmota monax (woodchuck). Its description in RNAcentral is "tRNA.Ala". Lineage: Eukaryota; Metazoa; Chordata; Mammalia; Rodentia; Sciuridae. The record is from RNAcentral.